This 363-nucleotide ribosomal RNA is filed under the name uncultured bacterium. Its description in RNAcentral is "bacterial SSU rRNA". It matches the Rfam family "Bacterial small subunit ribosomal RNA", at positions 70 to 422 of the family's 1533-position model. The record is from RNAcentral.
CAGUUUGUAGCAAUACAGAUGGGUGCACGGCGCACGGGUGCGUAACACGUGGGCAAUCUGCCCUCCGAUGGGGAAUAACCCCGCGAAAGCGGGGCUAAUUCCGCAUAACAUUCCCUGGACCUCGGUUAAGGGAUUCAAAGUCCGCCUCACGGCGGACGUCGAAGGAGGAGCCCGCGCCCGAUUAGCUAGUUGGUGAGGUAAUGGCUCACCAAGGCAAUGACCGGUAGCUGGUCUGAGAGGAUGGCCAGCCACACUGGAACUGAGACACGGUCCAGACUCCUACGGGAGGCAGCAGUGGGGAAUCUUGCGCAAUGGGCGAAAGCCUGACGCAGCGACGCCGCGUGGGGGAUGAAGCUUCUCGGA